This is a small nuclear RNA of Zalophus californianus (California sea lion), 107 nucleotides long. NCBI's taxonomy places the organism in Eukaryota, Metazoa, Chordata, Mammalia, Carnivora, Otariidae. The record is from Ensembl.
GUGCUGGCUUUGGCAACACAUAUACUAAAAUUGGAACGAUACAGAGAAGAUUAGCAUGGGUCCUGCGUAAAGAUGACAAGCAAAUUCAUGAAGCAUUCCAUUAAAAA